RNAcentral lists this ribosomal RNA (402 nucleotides) under uncultured bacterium. RNAcentral's name for it is "bacterial SSU rRNA". It matches the Rfam family "Bacterial small subunit ribosomal RNA", at positions 355 to 774 of the family's 1533-position model. The record is from RNAcentral.
UCGGGAAUUUUGGGCAAUGGGCGAAAGCCUGACCCAGCAACGCCGCGUGAGGGAUGAAGUAUUUCGGUAUGUAAACCUCGAAAGAAUGGGAAGAAUAAAUGACGGUACCAUUUAUAAGCUCCGGCUAACUACGUGCCAGCAGCCGCGGUAAUACGUAGGGAGCAAGCGUAGUUCGGAUUUACUGGGCGUAAAGGGCGCGUAGGCGGCGCGGUAAGUCACUUGUGGAAUCUCUGAGCUUAACUCAGAACGGCCAAGUGAUACUGCUGUGCUAGAGUGCGGAAGAGGCAACCGGAAUUCUUGGUGUAGCGGUGAAAUGCGUAGAUAUCAAGAGGAACACCUGAGGCGAAGGCGGGUUGCUGGGCCGACACUGACGCUGAUGCGCGAAAGCCAGGGGAGCAAACG